UUGGCCAUGGAAAACUGUCUGGUCGAUCCCAAAGCAGGUCACCGGUCCAAGCGCGAAUCGGUCGGCGAUUGUAAAACUGGCGUCCAGUGUCCCGGCAAAAGCUCAGAUGGGGGAAAAGGAGGCGACGAUAAAAAACUUCCUAAAAACCGAGGGACGAUUAAGAAUUAGCGUUGCUUUGCGCCGGAGUGGGAAAAAGAAUUUGCAAUACCAACAAUUCAACAAAAAAAAGUUCUGUGGCAAAGUCUCCGGUGACUUCUUAUGACAUGCUCGAACAGAUCCCCCAAGAUAGUGUCUCAGUUGAACGGAAACCGGAAGCUGAAGUUCAAGCCAUUUCGGCCGAAUUUUUCGCCUUCGCUCAAAAACCAGAUCAUCGUAGAAUCUCUAAGAAGCGGAGACGAUUUCUACCGGAAACGGAAUCGUUCUUCGAACCUAAGCCCGAUCGAGAGUGGCGCCAUGUGGAAACGAGGUCGAUUCGUCAAUAUUCGGGACCGGAAUGUCAUCAGCGUGAACCAAAAGUGUUACCUAUGGAGAGUGCACUGGCUAAUAGGGCUGUCCAAGAGUUCAACAAACCGCCGAUUGGGUAGCCGGAAUGGGCUUGCUAUUGCCGAGUAAACAACAAGCCUGUCACAGGUUCUCCGGCUCCGUUGCGUUACUAAUGAUCCGACGUGUCUGCACAAACUCUGGCCACUUGGAGUAGGAGUCAAUGCCCAGCAGAACAUACUCGCGUUGGUCUGCCUGGUGUAGUCGACAAGGAAGCGCUGCCAUGGUCGUGUAGAUUUUGCUGGCAUAUCUCGUAUCGUCUGGAAGCUGAGGGGGAAAACGUCGAACGACUCGAACGCUGACGAUGUGCCUCAUCCUCGGGAGUGACGGCUGCGAUCACGUAAUCUUCAUCGGGCUCACGUGGUGGGCGAUGAGUCGAGACAGGAUGGUAUGCCCAAACUUGUACUUGGCCACGUAAUCGAUGGUGAAGUCGUUCAUGAGCUGUACCAGGACCCAGCGAAGAUGCGCAAGAGUGGGGCAUGGUUCGACGGCUGCUGUUUGCGAGGGCUCUUGAUGCGUGCUGCACGACUUUGACUGACCCGUCUGAUAAUCGAUGACUAAUUGUCACUCCGAGGAUUAUCCACAACGCGUCUGCAGAGAUAAUGACAUCCAGGCCCAGAUUGUGGUGCAUUAAAAAUAUACUCGAGCGUAUUGGACCGACCAUGAGUGGAGGACCAAGUCCCGGUUCGACACUGUAGAUCAACAGCAGCUUUGUUUCUAGGUUUAAGGAACUUGCUGUACCUGUAAAUCAAAGUUCUGAUUAUAGGUGACCGAUGAAAAUAAAUGCUUUUUCCUAGAUACCAUCAUCUGGGGCGAAUCGGGACAGCUGCCAGUAUUCGGAUUGUAGUUACGAUGAGCUCUAAUUGAUGGUAUGUGUUGUUGCGUUUUAUUUUUUAAUAAUUUUGUAUGACUAAUACAAAGUCCUGGCUACUACUUCCACUACCACCGCCGAUGCGACCUCCGGAAUCACCCGCGGAACCAGCAGUGGGAACUUGACCGCCGCGUCACCGUUCACCUUGAGCACGCCCCCGAUUUGUAUGGACCCUCCUCCACGAAGAUGAAAUCUCUGCAAAGAUAUAGGAUUAGUAUCGAUACGAACUCAAGUCGCUGCUUAACGAAUCUUGCUCCGCGUCCUUCUUGCCGUCCUGGUCGUUCUUGGGGGCUAUCCAUUUAUGCUGUUUUUGCGAGUUGCUAGCACUUCCGUUAUCACUGCAAGUGGUCGAAGACGGCCAAGGAGGUUGUGGAAUAUCAAGCCGGUCGGCCGUUCCCUUGCUGCCUCAGUAGCUUCGGUGCUGCCACUGCCCGAGCUAGAGUUGGGUACUUUUUUCUUAGGCUUGAGCUGGAGUAGAAUAAACUACCGGAGAUGAGCCCCAACAGCUGGGACAGGGUCGACAUCGAGAGUAGCUGGAAGCGACACAUUUUGGUAAGAUCCCAAGCGGCGUUCAGUAGCUAACCGACCUUCAGGACUCCGUGCGAGAUUGGGAAUCCAAUCGCUCCGUGAUUGUACGUGGGACUGUUCUUCACACAAACCUGCGCCCGACGGCCAAUUCCGAUGCGUUGAAGCUCGGUCUAACCGGCUUUGUCCCAAAGUCGUUUCCGUUGGCCUAAUGACAGGACACCACUUUCGGUGAGCGCAACCGUGUAGAGCGUACACAUGUGCAGCGAUACGAUGUUGUCCAGAGCAAAAUCCGGAUGGCUGGUGGCCACUGUUCCACCCUUCUGCUGACAUAAUCGUGCAACUCCUCCAUUCACUUGGUGAUUCGUCCUCUUUUGGUAGAGACCGGAUUGAGGUCACCGAAAUGUGCGUGACCUUCUCUUACAUCAAAUUCAGCGGAACAGUCUUCGGGUGAAAGAUGUUGCUCGAUUCACUGCUCCGGAGAACGAGGCAAUUUCCCAAAACGUCUCGCUUUGUUUUUCUCCGGCUGGCGCGCCCAGAAUACAACUUUCCUUGUCCCAGGCGUCCUCGCGACCACUCUGGAACCAGCGGCGCGGUUUAAAGUACUGUUUAUCACGACAUUUUCCGAAUCUUUUCCAUUAGGCACUGUCCAAUCCACGCAGAACUGAAUCACUUAUCGACCUGUUGAAAUGAAAUGGUCGCGGGAACAGCUGCCCGUCGAUUCUUCCCUUGGGCCACCUUUCUACGAAAUCCUUCAUGCAGGGCACUACGCUGGACAGUCGCUUUGUGUUCCUCGCCGACUGUCGGUCCGUGGCUCACACAUUACCUGGCAUAUUCGCUAAAAGAAAUAUUUAAAAUAAUUGAUGGUUUUUCUUAACCACGCUUUUCAAAACAAAACGCGACCCGACGAAACGUCAAAACAAAACCAACACUCUGAAUGAAAUUACUCAGAUUCGGCUAAAUGGAGGAAUCGGGUCUCAAGGUUCUGGAGCGGAUCCAAAUCCGUUUCGAAAACCUGAAGUGGCACCCCCCUAGCUCCAACCUCUAGAAGUAAUCCGAGUACGACAGCUUCAGGACCUGCGGCUUUAAUCGGUAAUACUCGUCAAACUUGUCCCGUAGCUAGAAAUGAACUGCGGACCCUCAGGACAUCCCACAGUGUCCCGUCAUCACUUCCGGCACAUAAUGCUGCUGGUGGUCGUAAACCGCCGGCACCGAGUGCAACAUUCGCGCUGACCACCUCCGGUCGCUUCUCGUCGUUUCCCUCUUCCGUCGGAUCCUUCUCCUCACCGAUAAAAUUUACUUUAUCUUACUUGUUCGAAAAGCGGAUGUAAAUCUGCUUCAACUUUAAUUUCGUCCACCUGGCCACCACCACCGAAUACAACCGGUGCAAAUCCACAUCCCGACCUCCGAUCUUCGGGAACCGCAUAAACUGCG
This is a long non-coding RNA of Culex pipiens pallens (northern house mosquito), 3370 nucleotides long. RefSeq lists it as uncharacterized. The record is from RefSeq and is a predicted model, not a curated record. The transcript is spliced from 3 exons. Lineage: Eukaryota; Metazoa; Arthropoda; Insecta; Diptera; Culicidae.